RNAcentral lists this ribosomal RNA (725 nucleotides) under Salmonella enterica. Its description in RNAcentral is "partial 23S ribosomal RNA". It matches the Rfam family "Bacterial large subunit ribosomal RNA", at positions 711 to 1348 of the family's 2925-position model. RNAcentral also lists the same sequence under 1 other name. Lineage: Bacteria; Pseudomonadati; Pseudomonadota; Gammaproteobacteria; Enterobacterales; Enterobacteriaceae. The record is from RNAcentral.
AGACCCGAAACCCGGUGAUCUAGCCAUGGGCAGGUUGAAGGUUGGGUAACACUAACUGGAGGACCGAACCGACUAAUGUUGAAAAAUUAGCGGAUGACCUGUGGCUGGGGGUGAAAGGCCAAUCAAACCGGGAGAUAGCUGGUUCUCCCCGAAAGCUAUUUAGGUAGCGCCUCGUGAAUUCAUCUCCGGGGGUAGAGCACUGUUUCGGCUAGGGGGCCAUCCCGGCUUACCAACCCGAUGCAAACUGCGAAUACCGGAGAAUGUUAUCACGGGAGACACACGGCGGGUGCUAACGUCCGUCGUGAAGAGGGAAACAACCCAGACCGCCAGCUAAGGUCCCAAAGUCAUGGUUAAGUGGGAAACGAUGUGGGAAGGCCCAGACAGCCAGGAUGUUGGCUUAGAAGCAGCCAUCAUUUAAAGAAAGCGUAAUAGCUCACUGGUCGAGUCGGCCUGCGCGGAAGAUGUAACGGGGCUAAACCAUGCACCGAAGCUGCGGCAGCGAACGUAUCACCCAAGACAACUUUACGGAGUUGACGAUUGACGGAGCGAAGCGACGUCAAAGCGUUCAUUAAAGUCGAGUUGGCUUAGGGAUACGUUCGUUGGGUAGGGGAGCGUUCUGUAAGCCUGUGAAGGUGUGUCGUGAGGCAUGCUGGAGGUAUCAGAAGUGCGAAUGCUGACAUAAGUAACGAUAAAGCGGGUGAAAAGCCCGCUCGCCGGAAGACCAA